UGGGAAGUCGUCUAGCGGCAGGACCCUGGAUUCUGGAUCCAGUAACAGAGGUUCGAAUCCUCUCUUCCCAGCCA
RNAcentral lists this transfer RNA (74 nucleotides) under Candidatus Babelota bacterium. RNAcentral describes it as "Candidatus Dependentiae bacterium tRNA-Gln". It matches the Rfam family "tRNA". Rfam says of the family: Transfer RNA (tRNA) molecules are approximately 80 nucleotides in length. RNAcentral also lists the same sequence under 1 other name. The record is from RNAcentral.